RNAcentral lists this transfer RNA (84 nucleotides) under Hydra vulgaris (swiftwater hydra). It matches the Rfam family "tRNA". Rfam says of the family: Transfer RNA (tRNA) molecules are approximately 80 nucleotides in length. The record is from Rfam by way of RNAcentral. Lineage: Eukaryota; Metazoa; Cnidaria; Hydrozoa; Anthoathecata; Hydridae.
GUCAGGAUGGCCGAGUGGUCUAAGGCGCUGCGUUCAGGUCGCAGUCUACUCUUGUAGGCGUGGGUUCAAAUCCCACUCCUGACA